GAUGAAGAACGCAGCGAAAUGCGAUAAGUAAUGUGAAUUGAAGAAUUCAGUGAAUCAUCGAAUCUUUGAACGCACAUUGCGCCCGCGAGUAUUCUCGCGGGCAUGCCUGUCCGAGCGUCAUUUCAACCCUCAGGGCCCGCCUGCUUCGGCAGGCGCGGCGCUGGUGUUGGGGAUCGGCCUAACCGCCGUCCCCCAAAUACAGUGGCGGUCUCGCUGCAGCCUCCCCUGCGUAGUAGCAACACUCGCAUGCGGAGCGCGGCGCGGCCACGCCGUAAAACCCCCGACUUUCUGAACGUUGACCUCGGAUCAGGUAGGAAUACCCGCUGAACUUAAGCAUAUCAAUAAGCGGAGGA
RNAcentral lists this unclassified non-coding RNA (353 nucleotides) under soil metagenome. Its description in RNAcentral is "partial contains 5.8S ribosomal RNA, internal transcribed spacer 2, and large subunit ribosomal RNA". The stretch from base 1 to 120 matches the Rfam family "5.8S ribosomal RNA", at positions 35 to 154 of the family's 154-position model. The record is from RNAcentral.